UUGUCAUCUAGCAGUAGUAACGAUAAAACAUUUAUUGUAUUCAUUAUUCAUAUUUCUUAGUUAUUAUAUUUCUGUAGGUCAUUGAAAAGUAAGACAUAAAUCGAAGAAUAAAUUGUUAAUUUGAUGAAGUUAUCGUGUUAUAAGUCAAUAAAAUAAGAUCAACCAUCGUCUAGAGCUCGCGUAUAUAUUUUUCUACACAAGGAAAAAAAAACUGUCACAGUGCAAUGAAGUGUAAUAUAAAAAAAAAAAAAAACACCGAAAGUGCACUAGAGUUCCAAGUGGAAUAUAAAAAUGUACCUGCACCAGCACGCUGCCGGUACAGUCAAGUGGGAAACGCUAUAGACAAUACGGUUUUUAUUUGUUCCGUUUGAGUUUUAAAAAUUUAACAUUCGAAAUACUUGUUCAUUUUUUCUCACUAAACAUAGUUGAUAUCCAACGAAUCGGCCAUUCAAUUAUCGUUUAACUAUGUAUAGUCUCUCUAUAUACUUUGUAUACUUUACGUGUAAUGUAGGUCGUAUAAACUGUAACGUUCAGGUAAUGUAAGGAGCGAGGAUACACUGCAGAAUGUGUUUAAUUCGGUUCGGUCACAUAUUUCGAACGCGUGAUGAUGGAUCAGUCGAGAUAUUCACUAACCGGAGACCGGUAUCUUUCCGUUUACGUUAGGAAAGUCGGUCCCUGAAUUCAACGAACAUUUCCUACUUGUAUGUAACGUAUAUUCAAUGAUGUGAUUUCGAUCACUCUGUGUAAAAAUAAAAUUCGAAAUAAAUAAUCAUUGUAAAAUCCGUUAAUUUUGAUUGGACGAAUAAUAUUAAAAUUCACGAUUCCGGUUCGGCUCCAAUCCCCCCCCCCGCCGUUUGAAUCGCGGUCCUUUCCGUUCGGUCGCCUGAACUGCUCCAUCCGUUCGGCCACUGGUCAAAUGACAAUCUUGCUAAUACUUCACAGUCGAGGUUGUGACGGGCUGUGUGGAAACUGACUGACGUGAACGCGGGAGGGUAGGUUAAAUCGAACAAAAUUAUCCAUCUCGGUAAUGCGUGCAUAUAAUAUAAUAAUAAUUAUUAUACGUUUUACAACAUUCAAUUGAACGCGACUGAACACGUCCGGCUGUGCUCGCUCCUCGAAGGAAUUCGAAAUGGAACUAGGGUUCUCUAGUCUUUCUCCGUCUAACGUCCGCGCCAUACACGCAGUGUAACAAUUCGGACAGAUUUUUUUGUCCACGAAAACAGAUUGGAAUUCGAUGCGAAAUGUAUUACACACUCGAAAUUGACCGGGCCAUUUUUUUUCAAUUUAUUUGUUGUUGUUUUUUUUUUUUUUUCGAUUUUUGUAUAAGUACAUUUUUAUGUAUUUUCUAAUCGAAUUCUUUGAAAUCAAGGACUGAAAAUGGAAAAAGUGACCCGACCGAUCUCACGCGUAUACACACAUAUUCUACCGGAUUCAAAUUUGAUAUUGUAUUUUCGGAACAUACUCCGAUCGCUACAUCAUGUGGACCGAAAAUCGGUAUACAAUGUUACCCUGCGUACUUGUAUUGUACGUGUCAUAUACACGGAUGAGAUAACAGAAUCCCCGUUUCGUUUCGAAUCCACUUCUAUUUACAUGUAUGACCAUUUUUUUUUUUUUUUCUACUAUCGGACACAAUCAUUAUUGUACUUAAAUACCAAAUAUUUUAAUAAUAAUUUAAUUUACUAACGUAUUAACCAUAAUAUUAUUAUACACAUAUAUAUAUAUAAUAUAAAUAAUUGUUUUAUAAUAUAUUCUAUGUUUCGUUACGCGCAUGCGUGCGACAAACUAGAGGAGUCGUAUUAUUAUAUUAUUAUAAUAGGUCUGUGCGGUUUAAAUAAAUAAAAUAAUAACUGUUGCACACGUUUCUGUAAGUUUUAGGUACUCGUAUUAUUAUAAUAUAAUAAUAUUCGGCUAAUAAAAUAUUUAGAUUUUUUUUUUUUU
Cinara cedri is the source of this 1938-nucleotide non-coding RNA. Lineage: Eukaryota; Metazoa; Arthropoda; Insecta; Hemiptera; Aphididae. The record is from the annotation of a GenBank genome assembly.